RNAcentral lists this ribosomal RNA (497 nucleotides) under uncultured bacterium. RNAcentral's name for it is "partial 16S ribosomal RNA". It matches the Rfam family "Bacterial small subunit ribosomal RNA", at positions 28 to 507 of the family's 1533-position model. The record is from RNAcentral.
GAUGAACGCUGGCGGCGUGCCUAAUACACGCAAGUCGAGCGAACAGAUGAGGAGCUUGCUCCUCUGACGUUAGCGGCGGACGGGUGAGUAACACGUGGAUAACCUACCUAUAAGACUGGGAUAACUUCGGGAAACCGGAGCUAAUACCGGAUAAUAUAUUGAACCGCAUGGUUCAAUAGUGAAAGACGGUUUUGCUGUCACUUAUAGAUGGAUCCGCGCCGCAUUAGCUAGUUGGUAAGGUAACGGCUUACCAAGGCAACGAUGCGUAGCCGACCUGAGAGGGUGAUCGGCCACACUGGAACUGAGACACGGUCCAGACUCCUACGGGAGGCAGCAGCAGGGAAUCUUCCGCAAUGGGCGAAAGCCUGACGGAGCAACGCCGCGUGAGUGAUGAAGGUCUUCGGAUCGUAAAACUCUGUUAUUAGGGAAGAACAAAUGUGUAAGUAACUAUGCACGUCUUGACGGUACCUAAUCAGAAAGCCACGGCUAACUACGUG